UAUAUAAAAAGGUGUAGAAAAUGUUGCUGCAUUUAAUUAACAUAUAUUAAUUUUCUUAUAUAUAAUAUACAUCAUAGAUAACUUAUUAUAAUCUUUCCUACAUGUUUUGUAGGUUAUGUUUAGUCAGCAACAACAAUAUAGAUUUAUAAGUUAUAACCGCCUUUAUAUAUUUUUUAUUUUUAAUAUUACAUGUUAAUUCGAUGCAACAUGUAUUGUGGAAUUGACGGUACAUUGAUAAUUAUACAAUUUAGAUCCAUCAUACAAUUUCGAUAAAAUUGUAUACGCUGCUUAUUCGAUGCAUUUUUGCACAAAAUGAACAAAAAAGUAUGGCAGAUAAAAGUUCUACUCUAUCUUGCGAAGCAAUAAAUUUAUCGUUAAAGUUAAAACUAACAGAUAUGUAUAUUAUCAAAUCUAUUAUUGACAAAAUGUAUAGCGAUAUGUUUCUUGUUUUGAUCUGCACAACUACAUAUUUUUAUAUUUAAAUAAUGUAUUUCUUAAGUAAAUUUAAAGAUAAUUUAUUAUUCGGGCUGCUAGUUUUACAUACAUUUCUGCAAAAGUCACAUAGCAUAUGUGUAAAUCAUACAAUAUAUAAAGGCAGUUAUAAACUUAUAAAUAUAAUUUAUAAAGACGUAUCAUAUUAAAACUAAUUUUAUAUUACAGGAUUCUGCCAAUUAUUCUUACAUCAUUCGGACAACUGUUCUUCUUAAAAUUUAAAAGAACGCAAAGAAUAACUGAAGUUUAUAAAAGUUGAAGAAAUUUUCACAAGGAUUAGAACAGCCUGCGACCACAUCAUCGGCAGAAAACUGAACUCAAAUGGAAGCGCUUGCACUCAUGUCACUAUCAUGUCCUGACAAUUUCGGAUUUUAUAAAACUAUAGGAGACGUGAUUGACGUUGAGAUUGUGAUUGACAGCUGGAGCAAAGCUAUAAUUUAGUUCAACAUUACGUGAAGUUUAUUUAAUGUUUUUCUCUUAUUUUCCCUCG
Molecule: long non-coding RNA, 982 nt
Filed under: Monomorium pharaonis (pharaoh ant)
Lineage: Eukaryota; Metazoa; Arthropoda; Insecta; Hymenoptera; Formicidae
Description: uncharacterized LOC118644339
Source: RNAcentral